UCGAUUCUUAAAAGGUGUCCCACAUAUCUCUUAGCACCCUGGAUAUUCGUUCGAGAGCACAAUUUCACAGGUUGCUAAGUGGUCUCCCAGUUCCAGAGACUGCUCAACGACAGUAGGGCCCUAGGGUUGUGCAACAUCGCCUCGCCAUUGUACUCCGUGGCACACAACGUUCUGCUACUUUCGCGAGGAUUUAGCACGGUUCCACUGGCCAGCGUAAACAACGUCUCGUUGUCGCACAUGGCCCCGUAAUUAAAAUACGUUUCAAUGAGUGAUUUAUGCG
RNAcentral lists this unclassified non-coding RNA (280 nucleotides) under Bombus terrestris (buff-tailed bumblebee). RNAcentral describes it as "misc RNA ENSBTSG00005023803.1". Lineage: Eukaryota; Metazoa; Arthropoda; Insecta; Hymenoptera; Apidae. The record is from RNAcentral.